Molecule: ribosomal RNA, 450 nt
Filed under: uncultured bacterium
Lineage: Bacteria
Description: bacterial SSU rRNA
Rfam family: Bacterial small subunit ribosomal RNA
Source: RNAcentral
GUAGGGAAUCUUCGGCAAUGGACGGAAGUCUGACCGAGCAACGCCGCGUGAGUGAAGAAGGUUUUCGGAUCGUAAAGCUCUGUUGUAAGAGAAGAACGAGUGUGAGAGUGGAAAGUUCACACUGUGACGGUAUCUUACCAGAAAGGGACGGCUAACUACGUGCCAGCAGCCGCGGUAAUACGUAGGUCCCGAGCGUUGUCCGGAUUUAUUGGGCGUAAAGCGAGCGCAGGCGGUUAGAUAAGUCUGAAGUUAAAGGCUGUGGCUUAACCAUAGUACGCUUUGGAAACUGUUUAACUUGAGUGCAAGAGGGGAGAGUGGAAUUCCAUGUGUAGCGGUGAAAUGCGUAGAUAUAUGGAGGAACACCGGUGGCGAAAGCGGCUCUCUGGCUUGUAACUGACGCUGAGGCUCGAAAGCGUGGGGAGCAAACAGGAUUAGAAACCCCAGUAGUCC